GGCUCCGUAGCCCAAUUGGCAGAGGCAUGCGACUUAAAAUCGCACAAGUGUGGGUUCGAGUCCCACCGGAGCCA
This 74-nucleotide transfer RNA is filed under the name Planctomycetota bacterium. RNAcentral describes it as "Planctomycetes bacterium tRNA-Leu". It matches the Rfam family "tRNA". Rfam says of the family: Transfer RNA (tRNA) molecules are approximately 80 nucleotides in length. Their secondary structure includes four short double-helical elements and three loops (D, anti-codon, and T loops). The record is from RNAcentral. Lineage: Bacteria; Pseudomonadati; Planctomycetota.